UGUGCAUGUUUAUCAGAAGACUUUCAGAUGUAAAAGUAUAAUUCUUUCAUGUCUUAUUUUAGAUAUUCGGAAAGCCUGGGAUGGCACUACAGCAGGUAUAAUUCUGUCCAAAAUAGGUCCUUAUAAAUUAUUUUACUCGGACAUAUGUCGAACAGCACCAGGAAGGGAACUGGAGAGCGAGGUGAUCAAUGCCUACAUGAAGCUUUUGGAGAAAAAACUUAAUACAUCCUCUGCCGAGAAAGUCAUGUGUAUUGACUCUUUUGCCAUGACUGAUGUGUGGCAUAAGAAAUUUCCACGCUUCAAGUGGGAUCCCACAGACUUCAAAACUUUAUACGGCAUUGUUAAUGACAACCAUCACUGGUUUGCUGUUAUUAUAUAUCCAAAACAGAGAAAAUCUCUUCUUCUGGACUCGCUUGGGGAAGGUAGUCAGAAGUUGAGGAAAUGCCAAG
This is a long non-coding RNA of Fundulus heteroclitus (mummichog), 449 nucleotides long. RefSeq lists it as uncharacterized. The transcript has 4 exons. Lineage: Eukaryota; Metazoa; Chordata; Actinopteri; Cyprinodontiformes; Fundulidae. The record is from RefSeq and is a predicted model, not a curated record.